AAGCUUCUAGUCAUAGAAAAGCACUUACAAGGACAUACAGGGUUCAUCUUGGCACACUUGGCUUGGAUAUGUGAGACAUGAUAUGGAGUUUAUAUCCAAUGAGGGUUCUGGGGAAAUAAGAAAGCAUUUGAGACAAAACAGCAAUAAGGCCUGAUUCUGAUAAAUCUAAAAUGUGUUUUAGAUUAAUAUUUGCUAUUCAUUUUACAAUUAAUUCAAGUUCUGCAUAAAAUUUCACACAAAGGGAAAAUAUUUUAAAGUCCUAAGUAUUUCCUAAUGUAACAUGAGACCAACUUCCCUGAUCUGAAGAAUUGAGAACUGUUAUAUUUAUCAAAAUAAAAAAUAAUUGAAUAUCCAUAAUCAUUUUGGCAAAAGCUAUACCACUUAACUUCUUAUGUAAAUAAUUUUCAGACUGAACUUGGCAAGUAUGCAACUAAAGGAAAGACUUCAUAACCCUAAUGUUAGAAAAUUUUCCAUAUUAUAUUUUUUACCUAUAUCCUUCUUCAAGUCUGAGAGCUCCAAUAUAUGCUAGUGAAAAAAAAGAUCAAAAUUAGCAUUAAUGUAAGGAUUUUCAAUCAAUACUGUAAAAAGAAUCACUAGGGGAAAAAAAGGCCAGAAUAAAGAAAACUCAAAUAUAUGACUUAAUGAGAAACCCUUCAAACAUACAAAAUCAAACUGUAUUACUUACCAAACCUCUACACCAUCUCCUGAUAAAUCUCCAAGGGAAAAAUGUGGGAGAUCUAAAAUGUAUCAUAAACAGGCAGAGAAAAUAUUUUAAUAGCCCUCCCCCUAAAUAACAUAAAUUCAAAUAAAAAAUUUCAGGACAAGACAUAGGUCAAUGAAGUAUAAUUAUUUUGAAGUCUUUUAUAAAAUUUCUAAACUUAUGAAUAAACUUCCAGUUUUCUGCUCCUGAGAAUGCUGAAAUACUUUUAAAAGGAAAGGGGAAAAAGAGCAAAACUUAAAUGUGCACAUGUGUGUGUGGGGGGAAUCAAUACAGAACAUAGGGAAGAGAUGAGCUGCAAGGAAAAAAAAAAAAAAAAAGCUGCAAGGAGGAGGAGAGAAAAAACACCAAAAUAAAAAAUAAAAUAAAAACCUUUCUCUGUAAUACUGUGGAGUUCUAUUUGUUUUUUCCUUCUAAUUUACUGAGAUAUGGGGCUCUUUGGAACAGACCAGUUAUUAAGUAUUUGAAUCACUGCUCUACUACAAAAUGUUCCUGUAUCUGUGUCAUCUGUAAAAGCGAAGCUGUGAGGAUUAAAAGAAAACACCCAAAAAGCACUAUGAACAGUACCUAACACACAGCAAGCACUUAAAUGCCAGCUAUCAGCACUAAACAGUGCACAUGUUCACUUAAAUAUUUCCUUAUCAGCUAUUAUCUCCUUAUCUCCCUGAUGGGCUCCCUGAAUGGCUGGAACCUGAAUUCAGGUUUUGCCAAUAUAUCUAAUGAUACUUAACUUUCAGAAUGGCUUUAGUCAAAUUCUUUCAAAUGUUCUUUCCAUAGUGACACCCCUCUUGCCUGGCAUCAAUUAUUACUUUUGAUAUUAGGAGGAGAUGGAAAUAUAGAUGUAGUGUGUCUUUCAUGCCUUUGCUCUACAAAUCUAAAGCUUUUGUAUAUAUAAAGAAGGAAACAUGUAGCAAUUAUAAAAUGUUAAAUAUUUUAUGAUGCUAAGGACAGAAUAGAGGCAUACAAUAGCAAAUUAAAUUUUACAAAUUUAAACUUCUAGAAUAAACCUUCUGUUCUUCGGUUAUAAAUCAAUAAAUCUAACGUAAGAAAAUGCUUUGUCUCUGGCUCUAAAAAGAUAAAUAUAUUUCUAAAGAAAGAUAAAAGUGAAAAUUUUGGUUCUAAUACUUGCUUUAUGACGAACUAGCUGUACAACCCUGGCUGUUACUCAACUUCUCUGGGCCAGUGAAUAUUAAAGAUAAUACAAAGUACCUAGCUGCGUGUGUCUGGCACACUGCUUUUUUUUUUUUUCCCAGGGUAGCACCUGCGGCACAUGGAAGUUCCCAGGCUAGGGUUUGAAUCAGAGCUGCAGCUGCCAGCCUGCACCACAGCCACAGCAAUGCCAGAUCCAAGCUGCAUGGGCAACCUACACCACAGCUCACAGCAAUGCCAGGACCCUGACCCACUGAGCAAGGCCAGGGUUUAAACCCGCACCCUCAUGGAUACUAGUCAGAUUUGUUUCUGCUUCGCCACAAUGGGAACUCCAAGAAUUUAGAUAUGACACCAUAUGAUGAGAAUGUUGUUAUUUUUGUGAUAAUUACUAUGGCAAUUACAAAGCACAAAUAGAGAAGUAAGAGAGAUCAGGUAGGAAAAUUGGGAAAAGAAUUUUAACAAUCUAGAAAUUGACGUGUAAAAUAUACAGCAAUGCUUCCUAACCUGUAAUCUUGUUACCUGUAAUUUGUGGAUAUAUCAAACUGACUAAAUGUGAAUUUUCUCCUUAAUUCCAUAAUGGAAGAAGGCUCCUUUAUAUCCACAGUAUAUUUGGUACUUAGAACAUUAUCAUAAAAGUGGGUCUCUAAAUGUAUAGUCUAAAAUUGAAUGUAAUGCUGUUAUAAUUAAUAAAAUCAAUCACUUUAAAAGUACUGCUCAAUUCCUAGAAUAUUUUAAAACAAAACUUCCAGUCAACUGAAGUAGUAAAGUACAACAAUUAGCUCUUAUGGCUGGUCUGAUAUUUUUUUCUACACUGGUUCCAAGUCAUCUUCUUAUGAGAUUAAGAACUACCAUCCUAGGAUAGUAAAUUAAUAAGUAGAGAAAGGAAUCAACUAUAAUGGAAAAAAUAAAAAUCAUACAAAUUAAAAAAAAAUUCUAUGAGGGGAAAAAAAGGGGGAGAAAGGAAAAGACAUCAUAUUAGAAUCAGUAUGACUUGAUUAACGGAAAAUCCAGGUUACUUAAGACUGUAACCUGUAGGACCAAAAUGUACUUCAUGCCUGUAUGGUUUUCUUCCCUAUGCCAGAAUCUGCUCCUUGUAUCCACAGUGCCAGACACACAUUUAUGCACUAAACUUUUGUUAAAUGACUAGUAUCUGUUUUUCAGCAUCACCAAAUUUCAUGUGAUCUGGAGGUACAUAUGAGAUGAGACUAAAAGACUGGGUUUAGAGAUAUAAAGUCCAGAAGCCCUAACUGUGGCUGAAGUCUCUAAAGAGGGAUAAAAGACAUAGGAAGAGGGCAUUACGAGGGACAAAUACACAAAUUGUGGAUCAAACAGAGUCAGCAAAAGUCAGAAAAGUUUUGAAGGUUUACUGAAUUCUAUCAAAAAUAACAAGACAAUCAAGGAUGAUGACUGGGUGGGGUGGGGCACAGGGGUAGACAACUGAAAUGGCCUGAAGAUCACUGCUGUCAUAAACAUGCUGGCUUUGACUUAAUGACAAUUAAAGUGACCUGUAAUUCUCCUAGGUAGAACAAAGCUGGAUGGAACCCCAAAGCAACCAAAGGCACAGCACCUUGGUUUGUCAGACAUCUAUCUAGAAUGGUAAAUUUGGUCUCAGUGCUAGGUAUACCUGGAGCCAACCUGACUUUGAUUAAUAUCUUCCAGGUCAUAAGUCUCAGCUGUGAUAUUGCUUUACUGUUUAUUCACUAGCCACAAAUACAUAUAUGGGCUAUUACCACCAGAGAACUGAUUUUCUUAAAGUUCAUGGGUAAUCAGGAUGCUAUUCAACUUUGCUUAUGCAUAUUAUACAAUAAGGAAAUAAGUUCUGAUUCUGCUCUAUCUUUAGUUUAUGACCCUAGCCUAGGCAAAUCAUGAGUUAUGAAGUAAAAUGGAAACAAUUCCCUAUUUCUAAAACACACAAACAGAAAGAUAACAAUUGCAGAUUGUCAGAAAGAUGUGAAAACAAAAAAUCAACAACACACAAAGCCAUGGUUAUAUAUACACCCAGCAUAGUUCAUGAUCUUCGAGCAGCCACUUCAAAGACAUAAAAGAAAGCCAGGGAAGGUACAAAACAGGGCAACUAAGAAGUGUUUAUAAUAAUAAAGUGGCUUUUACCUUCAAAGAGUAAGAACUCCAAUCUGGAAAGAAAGUUAAGACGAUAAAAUUGAAUUCCAUGAAAAAUCAUAAUGGUUGCAGAUAAAAAUACUAGAGUCUGGCUCCAUUUUAUUCAAAGUAAUUUAAAGCAAAUCCUGAAACACUCCAACUAGGAAAUGUAUUAACGCUGGUAAAAAGUAAAUCUCAAAUCACAAGAUAUUUCGUAAACUUGUGACAUAAGCCAUGGGUACAAAAAAAAAAGUAGUCUGAAAAACUGUAAAUAGUUUUAAGAAGGUUCCGCUAUUCAGAAGCUAUCGUUAAUCUUACUAUCACAACAUAAAAUAAUUCUUAUGCUGUUAUUUCAGUGAAACUAGUCUUUGGCCCCACCUAUAAUUCCAAGCUGGGAAAACUAACAGUCUAACCAGCUAGUUAGCAAUAUCCCAGAUAUUCCAGUUAUUCAGUAUUUCAAAGAAGCCUAAUGACAUUUACCAGCUAAGACUGCAUAUAGCAAGCAAAACCCAGAAGGCACUUACAGAGCGGUAGUUAAAAUAUGAGCUCUGGUAUCAGACCAGCCUGGGUUCAAUUCCAGAUUGGCCAUUUCUAGUUAGGAAUGCUUUGGAUCGAAAUGUCUGUGUGUUUCCGUAUUUAUAUUUACUUUACAGGAUUAAUAAAUAAGUAAGUUUAAGAUAAUGACAGCCAUUGGAAACAUUCACUAUUAGGUCUACUGUCAAGUUUGCUGACUGAAACUGUAACUAGUUCAACGUGCUAAGCUCAGUUCUCUUACUGACUAAAAGUUCUAACAAUUAUAGGUCUUCGAACUUUUUUAAAAAAGAAAAUGUUCAUGGUUGAAAAACAGACUGAGAGCUGAAAAGGUUGGAAAGUCAUUUGGAUUAAACCAUGUUUUUUUUUGUUUGUUUGUUUUUUUGCUGUGCCCACAGCAUGCAGAUGUUCCUGGGCCAGAGAUCAAACCCAUGCCACAGCAGUAACAAUGCCAGAUCCUUAACCUCUAGGCCACCAGGGAAUUCCUAAGCCAUGUAUUUUUAUUUUUAGCUUUUAUGGCCACCCCUAAGGGGUAUGGAAGUUUCCAGGCUAGGGGUCAAAUCGAAGCUGCAGCUGCCGGCCUACAUCACAGCCACAGCAACACCGGAUUUGAGGCACACCUGCAACCAACACCAUAGCUUGUGGUAAUGCCAAAUCCUUAACACACCGAGUGAGGUCAGGGAUUGAACCCACAUUCUCAUGAACACUAUGUCAGGUUCUUAACCCACUGAGCCACACACAAUGGGAACUCCCAUAAACCAUGUAUUUUCAAGAGACAUGGAAUUCUGAGGGCUUGUUUGUUUUUUUAAAGAAACUAUCUUAAUCAACUCAGCUCUCCCUAUCAAACCUAUCAAUAUCUUGUAAUACCGCUGACAAAAAUGUAUUAUUAGACACUAGAUUAACCAGUUUUGUUAAGACAUCAAAGCAUGAAACAGCUUGACCUUUAUAUUAAGGGGCCUUAUGAGUUACAGGGAAUGGAGAAAAAAGUUAUUUUUAGUAAAUCUAGUCCAUUUAAACAAAGCAACACCUGUUUUUCUUCAGGGAUAUAACAAAUGUUUCAAAGAACUGCUCAUUAUUUCAACCUUGACUAGGGAUUUCUCACUCAAGGCUUAGUUUUCAGUAAGGGAAAAAUAAAAUAUAAGGAAACCUACCUUCACAUUUGUUCUUUCAGAGUCAGUCACUCCAUCUUUAUAUUUAAAAUUUUGAACUGUACAGUAGAAAUUCUUAAAAGUCAAGUUACUUUUAUCUUAUCCAGUGGACACUACAGUUGUAAUUUAGUUUAAAAAAUUCAUAAUAUAUACACUUUAAAAACUCUUCUCUCUAGGAGUAAUCCAAAUUAUGCACAUUAUUCAUAUAUUCCAAUUAUAAGCUGAGUAUUUUAUUAGGAGGACAGAACACCUUUUAAACUUCCAAUGGUGUUUUUCUGGAAGAUUUGGUUUGAGGAUCACUACAAUUUAUAAAUCUAUUACCACCUCUUGGAAUCUUCUCUAAAUUCUUUAAGAAUAAUAGCCAUGACUUCCUAUUUUCUAUUUCUAAUUGCAGAAACAUAAAACACUCAAUGGCUAUAAAAUGAAUGGACAUAAAUCAGUUAUCAAUGUUAGGUACAGACCAGACUUAACCUUUUCAAUAAAUAGCUACUUUCAGCUGAUUAUCUAGAUUUGGUUGGUAACGUACAAGAUGAUCUAUUUAAUGAUACCCUUUCCUAAGCAUUAACAGGUUGAUCAAGAUGUUAUUGUUGGAGUUCCCAUUGUGGCUCAGGGGAAACGAACCUGACUAGUAUCCAUGAGUCCAAAGGUUCAAAUUCCUGGCCUCAUUCAGUGGGCUAAGGAUCUGGCAUUGCCGUGAGCUGUGGUGUAGGUUGUAGACACAUCUUGGAUCUGGCAUUGCCGUGGUGUGGGCCAGUGGCUACAGCUCCGAUUUGACCCCUAGCCUGGG
This 6430-nucleotide long non-coding RNA is filed under the name Sus scrofa (pig). RNAcentral describes it as "lncRNA (ENSSSCG00000055346.1)". The record is from RNAcentral. Lineage: Eukaryota; Metazoa; Chordata; Mammalia; Artiodactyla; Suidae.